AAAUCUUUAGAUUCCCCCUGUAAAUAUAAUUAUUUUCUGUGACUUACAAAUGAAUACACGAGGCUCCGGUUAAACAUUGCGCACAGAGUGUAGUUGAAAGGGUGCACACUCCUCCGUUGACAUUCUGGCUCUGCCCUUGUUCCCUGUGUGACCACAGGCAAGUUACUUAACCUCCCUGAGCCUCAAUUUCCUCACUGGUAAAAUGGGUCAGUGGCUGACACACAGAUCGGGCUAGUCCUAGGUAUGGCCAGCUGUGCUCUUCCCACCAUGUGCAGUGGCUCACACCUGUAAUCCCAGCACUUUGGGAGGCCGAGGCGGGCGGAUCACCUGAGGCUAAGUCAGGAGAAUCAAUUGAUCCCGGGAGGCAGAGGUUGCAGCGAGCCAAGAUCGCACCACUGCAUUCCAGCCUGGGCGACAGAGCAAGACUCCGUCUCAAA
Homo sapiens (human) is the source of this 437-nucleotide long non-coding RNA. Lineage: Eukaryota; Metazoa; Chordata; Mammalia; Primates; Hominidae. The record is from Ensembl.